RNAcentral lists this non-coding RNA (170 nucleotides) under Bacillus massilinigeriensis. RNAcentral's name for it is "Lysine riboswitch". It matches the Rfam family "Lysine riboswitch aptamer". Rfam says of the family: Riboswitches are metabolite binding domains within certain messenger RNAs that serve as precision sensors for their corresponding targets. The record is from RNAcentral. Lineage: Bacteria; Bacillati; Bacillota; Bacilli; Caryophanales; Bacillaceae.
UGAGGUAGAGGUUGCGGUGUUUAUUAGUAUGUUAAAUGAGAGGCAGGGAACUCAGAGAUUUUAACAAAAAGGAAACAUUGCCGAAGCGCUAAAAAUUCUCUGGUUUUGGUAGCUGGGACUGUCUCCGAAUAGGAACAGGACUGUCAUAGCUAAUGCUAUGUUGAACUAUC